UACGUAGGGUGCAAGCGUUGUCCGGAAUUAUUGGGCGUAAAGAGCUCGUAGGCGGUUUGUCGCGUCUGCUGUGAAAACUGGAGGCUCAACCUCCAGCCUGCAGUGGGUACGGGCAAACUAGAGUGCGGUAGGGGAGAUUGGAAUUCCUGGUGUAGCGGUGGAAUGCGCAGAUAUCAGGAGGAACACCGGUGGCGAAGGCGGGUCUCUGGGCAGUAACUGACGCUGAGGAGCGAAAGCGUGGGGAGCGAACAGG
This 253-nucleotide ribosomal RNA is filed under the name uncultured bacterium. RNAcentral's name for it is "partial 16S ribosomal RNA". It matches the Rfam family "Bacterial small subunit ribosomal RNA", at positions 524 to 776 of the family's 1533-position model. The record is from RNAcentral.